This is a long non-coding RNA of Cygnus olor (mute swan), 394 nucleotides long. RefSeq lists it as uncharacterized. Lineage: Eukaryota; Metazoa; Chordata; Aves; Anseriformes; Anatidae. The transcript has 3 exons. The record is from RefSeq and is a predicted model, not a curated record.
GGAGUUACACCUAGCAGUGCUUCUCGCUCUGGAUGAGCUGGAGACAGACUCUUGCAGAGUAGCAGGAGUCUCCAGAACUGACAGAAACUCAGAGAUGGGGAAAUAGCAGAACCAAGCAGGGCAAGAGAAACAAGAAGUCAGAAUAAGUGUGAAGACUUCUGUGAGAGCUGCUCUGUUGCCUAUACCCUGAAAAAAAAGGGGGCCUCCCGCUUCUAGAGUCAGCUCUUCAGGAAACCUAGACGCCACUACAUUUUAACUGUCUAGAUCUAACUGAACUGUGGUUAUAGUCAAGUAUUUAACAGCAUUUCACACUUCUACUGUCAUCUGGAUUACAUAACAAUGUGCUGAUUUUAUAAACAGCAACUACUCAUUUUUGUGGUUGAGUUUUACUGGA